CCCUUAGAUGUUCUGGGCUGCACGCGCGCUACAAUGGCACAAUCAUCGAGUUCCUAAACUGAAAAGAUAUGGUAAUCUUAUAAAAUUGUGUCGUGACGGGGAUAGAAUAUUGCAAUUAUUAUUCUUAAACGAGGAAUUCCUAGUAAGCGCGAGUCAUCAGCUCGCGUUGAUUAUGUCCCUGCCCUUUGUACACACCGCCCGUCGCUCCUACCGAUUGAAUGUUCCGGUGAACGUAUUGGACUGAUAGUUUCGCUAUCAGGAAGAUCCGUAAACCUUAUCAUUUAGAGGAAGGAGAANUCGUANCA
This 305-nucleotide ribosomal RNA is filed under the name uncultured eukaryote. RNAcentral's name for it is "partial 18S ribosomal RNA". It matches the Rfam family "Eukaryotic small subunit ribosomal RNA", at positions 1470 to 1796 of the family's 1831-position model. The record is from RNAcentral.